GGCGGUUUAAUGUAAUAGUAACAUAACUGACUCAUGAUCAGUAAAUAUUGGUGCAAAUCCUUUGGCCGCUU
Molecule: transfer RNA, 71 nt
Filed under: Gonatophragmium mori
Lineage: Eukaryota; Fungi; Ascomycota; Dothideomycetes; Acrospermales; Acrospermaceae
Description: tRNA-Met
Rfam family: tRNA
About the family: Transfer RNA (tRNA) molecules are approximately 80 nucleotides in length. Their secondary structure includes four short double-helical elements and three loops (D, anti-codon, and T loops).
Source: RNAcentral